This is a long non-coding RNA of Cercocebus atys (sooty mangabey), 5781 nucleotides long. RefSeq lists it as uncharacterized. Lineage: Eukaryota; Metazoa; Chordata; Mammalia; Primates; Cercopithecidae. The record is from RefSeq and is a predicted model, not a curated record. The transcript has 2 exons.
GUACUGAUAAAAUUUUUAAAAAUAUUUUUUGAGCAAGACCUUGUCUUUAAAAAAAUAUUUUUUACAUUAGUCUAUUAUUCUAAUAUCUAUAAUAAGAUAAUAUUCGUAUGUUUUAAUCAGCAUUUAUACUGUAAGGAGGUAAAAGUUAUUAGCAUACAAUAUGAAGUUGUAGUAAGAAAAAGUUGGGAGAUAUAGUCUGAUCUAGGUGAACCUCUCAUGUCUCCAAGUUCCUACCCCCCAUGGCUACCUCAGGUACCUCUGACAUCAAAUUCUACUUGUCUUCCCAUUAUUCAUUCUGUUCUGGCCAUACUGGCCUCCUCUUUAUGGGCUCUAGAAUCUUUUAGGGUCUUUGCAUUUAUAAUUCUUUCUGUUUGGAAUAUUCUUCCACCAGACAGCUGCAUAGCUAGCCCUUGCUUCCCUUCAAGAGUGACAUUCUCACAGAGGACUUCCUAACUACCCUAUAUAAAAUUUCAUACACAGCCCAUUCCAAACACAUACUUCAUGUCCCCAUUGUUUAUUUUUUUUCUCUCUGGCACUGAGUAUCUAACAUAUAUAUAUAUAUAAAACUUUUUCCCCAGUAGAAUGCAAGUUCUAUUGGCACAGAUUUUUAUGUUUUUUGUAUAUUUCCUAAAACAAUGCCUGGCACAUAGGAAGUACUUUGUUGAAUGAAUAUCUCCAGCAUACAUUGAUGUCACUGAUAGUAAGUAUACAUGUUAGCAUUUUUUGCUGUAUUAUUUCUCAAACUGAGCUAGCUGAGAGGCGGUUUGUCUUCUGUUCUCCUAAACUGCCUUUGUUCUAAUUAGGAGAGAUGGGGAGGGACAGCUGUCUUACAAAAUAAUUAUUGAUUCUUUUUCUGUUUAAAGAGCAGAGUCCUCCUAGCUUGCUGCCAGUUAACCUUGUUCCUUUUGUAAGUGCCUGCCAAAGGAGGAAUGGGACAGCAUUGUGUGAGAUGGGGCCUUGUAGGUCACAUUAAACCAGUGGUUCUCUGGGGAGAUGAAAAAGUCCUGGAGAUGGAUAGUAGUAAGUAGUUGCACAGCAGUGUAAAUGUACUUAACGCCACUGAAUUGAACACUUAAAAAUAAUUAAAAUAGUAAAUUUUAUGUUACGUAUGUUUAACCACAUCUUAGGGGAGAGAAACUCCUAGGUUCUCAAAGUAUAGUCCAGAACCAGCAGUAGCAGCAUCACCUAGGAACUUGUUAGAAAUGCGAAUUCACAGCCUCCAUUACAGAACUGUGGAUGCAGAAACUGGAGCUUCACAAUAGCCUUGAAAACCAGCAGCCUCACAAGUCACAGUUGCUUUGAAAACCAGCAGUCUUGCAGGCACUGAAGAAGGUGGAAUGGGUUUAGAGUUCUCCAAAACUUACAGCUCGAGAAUUGUUACUAUUUGACUUGUCUGACAGUUUGCUGGAAACCCCAUUCAUAGGGCUUGUCUUUUUUCACCUGACUUGGAGUUUAUUCACUGCAAACAGUGUUUUCCCUGGUGCAUUUGUUGAAAAUAAUCAGCAGUACUUGUUUGACAUAACAUGGAGUGCGUAACAGCUGUAUGCCAAAAAUGACAUAAACCAGAUGAAAUGGACACACCUAAAAAGACAAAAAUUACCAAAACUAAGUCAAGAAAAAAUAAAAAAUCUGAAAAGUCCUAUAACAGGAGAUUGAACUAGUGAUUUUAAAACUUCCUGCAAAGAAAAAGUCCAGGCCCAGAUGACUUCAAUUGUGCAUUCUACCAAACAUUUAAAGAAAAAGAUAGAAUUAAUCUUUCACAAACUCUUCCAAAAUACAAAAGAGGAGGGAUCACUUCCCAGUACAUUGGAUGAGGCCACAUUAUCCUCAUACCAAACCCCCCCGCAAAAAAAAAUCUCAAGAAAACUACAGACCCAUAUAGAUCCCUUAUGAAUAUUGAUGCAGAAAUCCUCAAGAAAAUACUACAAAAUGAAUCCAGUGACAUGAAAAAUUAUAGAUUGUGAUCAAGUGGGAUUUAUGCUAAAAAUGUAAGGUUAGGACUCCUGACUCAACAUCAUUCACCAUGUUAAUAGAAUGAAGGAAAAAAACACACAACCACAUCAGUAAACACAGAGAAAGCAUUUGACGAAAUGCAACUUCUCUUCACUAUAAACACUUAGAAACUAUGAAUAGAAAGGCACUUCCUCAACCUGAUAAAGGGCAUUAAAUGAAAAACCUGCAACUAACAUCUGACUUAAUGGUGAAAGGCCGAAUGCUUUUCUGCCAUGACAUGACAAGGAUGUCCAUUCUCAACAUUUCUAUUCAACACUGUACUGGAGGUUCUCGUUAGCGAAUUUAGGUAGGAAAAACAGUAAGUGGCAAAAGAAGUAAAACUAUAUUCCCAGAUAACAUGAUCAUGUAUAUAGAAAAUCCUAAGGAAUACAUACACACACAUACCCUAUUAGACUAAAUGUUGAACAGUUUUGCAGUAUGCAAGAUAAGUGGGCAAUAAAUGAUGCAAACAUGAAGAAAAUUCCAUUUAUAAUAGCAUCAAAAAGAAUAACGAAGUUUAAAACGUACUCUGGAAAUUGCAAAAACACUACUGAAAGAAAUUAAAGAAGACCCAAAUAAAUGGAAAGACAUCCCAUGUUCAUGUUCAUGGUUUGAGAGACUUAAUAUUUUUAAGAUGAAAGUAUUCCUCAAAUUGAUCUACAGAUUGAACACAAUCCCCAACAGAAUCCCAGCUGGGGCCUUUGCAGAGAUUGGCAAGCUUGUCCUCAAAUUCAUACAGAAAUUUAAGGGACCCUGAGUAGGCAAACUAAUCUUUAAAAAGAAAAGCCAAGUUGGAUGACUCAUACGUCCUGAUUAAAAACUACAAAGCUGUAAUAAUCAAGACUGUGGUGCUGGCAUAAGGACAGACAUCUAGAUCAGUGGAAUAGAACUGAUAGUCCAGAAAUAUACUCUCAUAUUUACGGUCAAUUGAUUUUCUAUAUUGCGCUAAAACAACUCAGGAAAAGAAUAGUCUUUUAAACAAGUGGUGCUGGGAGAACUGGGCAUUUACAUGCCAAAAUAUGAAUUUGGAUCCUUUCCACAUAAAUUAUACUACUAUAACUCAAAAUGGAUCACAGACGUAAAUAUUAGAGCUAAAACUCUGAAAUUCUAGAAUAUAGGAGUAAAUCUUUGUGACCUUGUAUAUGGCACCAAAAGCUCAAGCAAUAAAAGAAAAGAUGGAUAAACUGGACCUCACCUAAAUUAAAUUUUUUUAUACUUCAAAGGACAUCAUUAGGAUAGUGAAAAGAUACUCAUGGAAUGGGAGACUAUAUUUGUAAAUUAUAUAUCAGAUAAGGAAAGAACUCUUACAACUCAAAAAGACAUAACCCUACUUAAAAAAAAUGGGCAGAGGAACUAUAUAGGUAUUUCUCUGGAGAAGAUAUGCAAAUGGCCAAUUAGUACAUGAAAAGAUCCUCAUUAUUACUUUUAGAUAAAUGUAACUUAAGACUACAGUGAGAUACCACUUCAUUCCUACUGGGACAGUUAUAAUCAAAAAGAAAAACAAAUGUGGAUAUGGAUGUGAAGACAUUGGAACCCUCAUAUAUGAAAAUGUGAAAUGUUACAGCCACUUGGAAAAUGGUCUUGUAAUUCCUUAAAUGAUUAAAUGGAGAGUUGUAUCACCCAGUUAUUUCACCCCUUAGUAUAUACCCCACAAACGAAAAUACAUGUUCCUUAAAAACUUGUACACAAAUGUUUAUAACGACGUUAUUCAUAAUAGCCAAAAAGUGGAAACCACCCAAAUGUCCAUUAGUUGACUAAUGUGUAAACAAACUCUGGUAUAGUGGAAUAAAAUUAGUCAAUAAAAAGGAAUCAAGUACUGACAAAUGCUACAGCAUGGAUGAACCUUGAAAAUAUAAGUAAAAGAAGACAGUCAUAAAAGACCACAUGUUGUAUGAUUCCAUUUAUAUAAAAUGUCCAGAAUAUGCAAAUCCAUAGAGACUGAAAUCAAAUUAGUGGUUUUCUAGGGUUGGGGGAAGGAGGAAACAGGGAAUGACUGCUAAUGUAUUCAGGAUUUCUUUCUGGGGUGAUGAAUGUCUUCUGGAAUUAGAUAGUAGUGAUCAAUACACAACUUUGUGAAUACAUGAAAACCACUGAAUUUCACACUUUAAAAGUGAGUUUUAUGAUAGGGAAUUAUGUAUCAAUAAAAGUAUUAUUUUUAAAAUCUUAAACAUGAACAUAUUUCUUGAGAAGUCCACAGUAGUAUCUUUUAACUUGUUAUGUUCAAAAGAUAUAUAUAUAUAUAUUUUUAACAGCAAGGGGGAAAAGUGAGGAAAUGAUGCUUUUCACCAUCAUUGGGAAAACUGCCUCUGUAACCAUGUUUUACUCCUACUGCCUCUCUUACCUCCCCUUACUGCUCCAGACUCUGAGGCUGCAAGACACCCAAGUGGGAGUUUGGAACUUCCAAGGCACAGUCUUUUUAUCCACUAGCAAAUUCAUUUUCAACCACAAAGGUCUGAGGGCACACUCUUACUACAUUCAAUACACGUCUUGGGCAUUCAAUUUCUAUCAUCUAGAGCAUCAUAUAGUGGCAAGGCCCUAGUUAGAUUUAUCUCUGGUGCCUUUCCAGCUUUCAUUUCUGUUCCACUCUUCCACAUCCUAGAGACUCAGGGGCUCUUAGAUGUCUUCUGAUCUCAGGAGCUUAUACCAGACCUGGCCCCAUCUGCAUCACAGUCCCAAGAUCAGAAUUACUCGCCUUUUCUCCCACCUGAUCAAAACUAUUUCUGGUUGUCUCUGCUUCUGAUUUUAAUUAAUUAAAAUUAUUCAUGCUAAAGCUGAAGGUAAGAAUUCCUAAUUAAAACUAAUUUCUUAAAGGUAUUUAUUUUAUGAAGGUAUUUCCUAGCUUUAUUCACUGAAAAGGCAAAAACAGUGACAAACUGAAAAAAAAUGAGCCCCCCACUAAGGAGUCUCUAAAAACAUUUCUUUAAAAGAACCAGAGCCCGUUGAGAGGAAUGUGUGAUUCCAACUCAGGGGCAGAAAACAUUUAAAAUCAGUGUAGAAUAUCUUGUCAGAAAGAAAGCUAUCAAUGACCACUAAGGAUGUGUUGAAAGGACUCGACAGCCAAUUUAGAAGGGUUCCUAAUAACUAAAGAUGGGAUUAAAAGGAACAACUGAAAUAGUCUAGAGCACAUCACAUGUGUAAAAAUGCAACAUAAGGCAGUUGCAAGAAAACCAAUUUGUUCAUUUGAAAACUGGCAAAGGGCAAUAAUCCAGCAUUUAUUCCACAUUUUCUGCUUGAUUUGUGCCUUAAGAUAACCAAAUAGUUAAUGUGAAAGGGGAGAAUACCACCAUUUUGCAAUCCCUAAUUAAAUAAAUGGAUCUAGGUAAUAAUCACCAUUGUCUGCUAACAAAAAAAAAAAAAAAAAAUUAGAUGAAAGGUUGAUGGGGAACCUUAUGAAAGGUGAAUCAGACUGAUAGCAUCUACUGAUCAAUCUUAAUAUGAAAGACAAAAUUGGCAUAUGCCUAUUGAUGUGGCAUAAUAAGACAUACACAGUACCUAUCACCUAUGACAUUCUUGCUAAAAGAUCUAAUCUGAAUCUUUCAGGCCUCAAAAAUCUGUUUACAAGGAAUAGAGGAGUUUGGAGAAUAUGUUGGAUAACACCAUGGGGGUGUGAUAAGCAAAAUCUAAAAUUGAGGGACAUUUUAUAGGACUAAUGACUGGUUUCUUUAACAAAUAAAUGAUUUUAAAAAAUGUAAGAGGAGAGACCUAUAGAUUUAAAGAAACUCAGGAAGCAUUAGCCAUACUCAGUUUGUGCACCUAUUUUGAAUAAGCCAACUGUAAAAAAAAAAAAAA